UGAUUUUUGGAAAAACUAUCUUUUGCUCAAGGUUAUGUGGAUUUCGUUUUUGAACUAUCACCGUCUCACUCUCUCCGAAUCCGUAGUUCCAAGGUAAACUUGGUUAAACUAUCUUUUGUUCUACAUGUAUGACAAUUUCGUUUUUGGGCGAUUUAAUUUUUGGUUAUGUUUUGGAUAUGCUUGGUUAUGUUUUGUUUUAUUACAGGGAUUUAAUGAAGUUAAUGGUAGCAACUGUGUGUUGCGUUCAUGUUUAGAAAAUUUCUAAUCUAAUUAAGAGUUUUGUUCCGAGUUCGGUGAUUUGCUUCCCAAAACAAGAUGCCUAACUUUCAUGUAAUGGAGAUGAUAGGAUCCAAACUGGUUUGUGGGAUGAUUUUAUAAAACCACAAGUUGUUGGUGCUAAAGUUUCUAUUGAACAUGUCUUUUCCUUAGUCCUCUUCAUGGAAAGUAACAAUCACCAUGCAUAGGAGGCCCUUCGUCAUGCUAAGUUUAAGUUUCCCGACCGUCAAAAUAUAAUGAUAUACUGUCAUAUAGGUUCAAAGAGCUAUACAUCCCCAUCUAGAAUAAUGGUAAGGUUAUGUUUGCUUGAUUGGUCAAUUACACUCUGCUUCACUUGUCUUUGUUAUUGACAUUUUUAAUCUUCAAUUUUUAAUGGAAGUUUUUUUAGUAGUA
This is a long non-coding RNA of Vicia villosa (hairy vetch), 669 nucleotides long. RefSeq lists it as uncharacterized. The record is from RefSeq and is a predicted model, not a curated record. Lineage: Eukaryota; Viridiplantae; Streptophyta; Magnoliopsida; Fabales; Fabaceae. The transcript has 3 exons.